Homo sapiens (human) is the source of this 3264-nucleotide long non-coding RNA. RefSeq lists it as uncharacterized. The transcript is spliced from 2 exons. The record is from RefSeq and is a predicted model, not a curated record. Lineage: Eukaryota; Metazoa; Chordata; Mammalia; Primates; Hominidae.
UUUUUUUUUUUUUUUUUUGAGAGGAAGUCUCACUCUUGUCCCCCAGGCUGGAGUGCAAUGGCACGAUCUCAGCUCUCUGCAAUCUCCGCCUCCCGGGUUCAAGAGAUUCUCCUGCCUCAGCCUUCCGAGUAGCUGGGAUUACAGGCACCUGCCACCAUGCCUGGUUAAUUUUUGUAUUUUUAGUAGAGACAGGGUUUCAACAUGUUGGCCAGGUUGGUCUUGAACUCCUGACCUCAGGUGAUCCACCUGCCUCGGCCUCCCAAAGUCCUGGGAUUACAGGCGUGAGCCACCGUGCCUGGCUUUUUUUUUUUUUUUUAAAAAACAAAUACUUUCUUAUUUAAGACACACAAUCACUCCCAGAAGAGUGGAGUAUUACCUCUUUUACAGAUGGGAAACUGGAGGCUCAGAAAGGCUAUUUAGGACCUUGCCCCAGUGGUCACCCAGUUAAGAAGCUCGAAGAGCCAGAAUACAACCCACGUAGGUCCAGAGCCCCAGCUGUCCACCACUAUACUCAAGUGGCUGGAGAGGGCAUUUUAGAACACUUAAAAUGAAAACCAACUAAAAGAAAACCUAAUUCACACAUCAUUAAUAAAAGCCAGUUACUGUAUAGAAAGCAGACGGCCUGUAUUCUUAAAAAGAUGAUAGGCUUUAACUAUCUAGGGCAUGAAAAAAAAGUAGGAGUCUAAUUAUGGAUGCUCUUUCUUCUAAAGUAGAGAGAUAUGUGCAUCAAGUUAACAAGCACCAUUUCUGAGUUUUACAAAGAUGAAGUUUUAAAAUGUGAAUGAUCCUGACUUGUCAGCUUAGCAACAAUCACAGAAUUCAUUACUUACAUUUUCACUAAGGGGGGAGGGGUUAUCUAGGUCAGUCCACCUAGAUGUAAAAAUAGAUUUCUGCAAUGUUGAAAGAGUACACUGCCUCAUUAUUAUUCCAGUCUCAAAGGCUGAAAUAAGCCCAGCAAGACAGACCAUGUAGUUUCCCUGUUAUCUCAACAGGUAUUGAUUUUGAAUUUAAAAAAUGACCAUUCAGUAACUAAGAACUUCAUCUCAUGGAGUCUUUGCCCACUUCUAGGCAGAAACUCCAUAUCCCUGAAAGAUUAGUCGACUCUUCCCAUGACCCCCUAGUUCUCAUUGGCAUUUUUAGGGGAGCUAAUUCACCAAAUGAGUUCAUAAAAGGGUUCUUUUUAAAUCCUAUACUAGUUUCCUCCCAAGGAGAUGGUGACAUCAAGAAAUUAGCACUCGAUGUCUUCCUCUCGCAUCACAUACGUUCUGGGUGUCAGGAAAACAUAUCUUUACAGCUGCAUCCAAGUGAGUUCCACAAUACAGGAGCUACGAUCAUUUAAAUGGAUGAAUACUUUCUGCACAGUAAAAUUGUUGCUUUCCCUUCAUUACAACAGACUUAUUGUAGCCUCAGGACAGACUUGAAAUUACAUCAACCCUGCUUGAGAAAAGUUAUUAUUAUGAGUUUACAAAAAUUUCACUAGUUCUACCUAUUCCUCGCUGUCUCAACAAUAAAAAACCUAAAAGCAGAUAGCUGAGAAGUUUCAACUGGGACCUCAAGAAGUCCAGCAUCACUGUAGUAGAAUUUGUGAUUACGGUCUGCUGAAGUUCUAGCCCUUCUCUGAUUUCCUCUCUUCACUAGAUCUGACUGGCCCAAUGUGCUAAUUUACGAUAAUCCGCACAUAUAAUGUCUAACUCAGUUUUAAUACACAGCUUAUUUAAAAAUCGGGUAUCUCCAUGCUAACAAUACAAGGCAGCAGGUACAAUAACAUUGUCAGUAGAAUUGUUUUAUUUAUUUAUUUAUUUAUUUAUUUAUUUAUUUAAAGACAGAGUCUCGCUCUGUGCCCAGGCUGACGCGAUCUCGGUUCACUGCAACCUCCGCCUCCCGGGUUCAAGUGAUUCUCCGCCUCACCCUCCCGAGUAGCUGGGAUUACAGGCGCCCACCACCACGCCCGGCUAAUUUUUGUAUUUUUAGUAGAGACAGGGUUUCACCAUCUCGGCCAGGCUGGUCUUGAACUCCUGACCUGGUGAUCCACCUAUCUCGGCCUCUCAAAGUGGUGGGAUUACAGGCAUGAGCCACCGCCCCCGGCCCGUCAGCAGAAUUUUAAAGAAAAUCAAGAAAUCACAUAAGGUUUUGACCUUUUAAUAGAAAAGACUGGCGUAGACAGGCAACAGUGGCAGAUGCGGCAGAAACACUCUGCAGUUACCUUACACAAUUGCUUUACCACAUUCCACCUAAGCAGUUGAGGCACAAACUUUAUCACCACCAUUUUACAGGUUAUGAAGAGUGAGUUUUGUAAAGUUGCAUGAGUUUUGCCAAACCACUUAAAUGAGUUGACAAUGAGCCAUCCAUCCCGCUAAGAUUACUAAUCUUGUUUACACAAAGAAGAUCACAGUUGUGACAAGAAAAAACAAGCUUUCACAUUUCAAGUCUGCAAUAUUAACUUUACAGAAUCCUCUCAAUUACAAAUGCAUUCGAAGAUGAUCUCCUUUUCUUCAUAGUUCUGUUAACUAGCAUUACAGCUAUCCAAGAAGAAAUGUCUACCUGUGGGUAAGCACAUUUCUUCAAUGUUUAUUCCAAAUGGAGUUUCUGGUUAUUUUCACAGCAAACUGUUACGAAACUUAUACACAAAGUGCAAAAACAAGAGAAUUGUAAGAUUGAGAUGAGUGCAUGAGGUAUUAUUCCACCAAAUAUAUUCAAUCUGUAAAAACUCAAAUCAUCCUUCCAAAAUGAUUAACAGAUGCUAAAGGAAAAAGGGAAAGCGGGCAAAUAAACCAGAGACUCAUUGCUUCACUUCUGGGGCAAUCGAUUACUACUUCAAAUUAUGAGUGAAGACCAAAAUCCUGCACAAAGGGCCGCGACACAACCCCGUCACUAUUGCUACUAUUUCCAUCCAGUUGGUCUCUCGAUCUUGGAAGUGGCAGGCCAGAAUCUGAGCCCGGCUCUCCCUCCGUGAACUUUACACAGAGGCUGACACCCAAAUCCCCAGUUCUCGGACAAGCGAGUAAGUAGUUGGCGGAGCAAAGAACAACUCCAGGUGCCUCCUGCCAGAACAGAUGCCAGCGUGGAGGAGGUGCUUUGUUAAAUGGCACUUCAAUCAGCCCUGGGGAGAACGGGUUACAGAGCCUCACAUCCAGCCUCGACGAUUCAACAGCCCGGGAGGGCAAAGGCACUUACUGGGCAGCUGCCAUGUACCAGACGCUGGACUAGAGACCAGAGAUUUAAAGUAAAAAAAUGAAAUAAAAUAAAAACUCCCCCCGACCAUGA